RNAcentral lists this small RNA (229 nucleotides) under Pan troglodytes (chimpanzee). Its description in RNAcentral is "Metazoan signal recognition particle RNA (ENSPTRG00000050135.1)". The record is from RNAcentral. Lineage: Eukaryota; Metazoa; Chordata; Mammalia; Primates; Hominidae.
GCCGGGCAAGGUGGCUCAUGCCUGUAAUCCCAGCAUUUUGGGAGGCUGAGGCGAGUGGAUCACUUGAGGUCAGGAGUUCGAGACCAACCUGACCAACAUGGUGAAACCCUGUCUCUACUAAAUACAAAAAAUUAGCCAGGUGUGGUGGUGCAUGCCUGCUGAGGCGAGUGGAUCACUUGAGGUCAGGAGUUCGAGACCAGCCUGACCAACAUGGUGAAACCCUGUCUCU